Long non-coding RNA from Rhipicephalus microplus (southern cattle tick), 171 nucleotides. NCBI's taxonomy places the organism in Eukaryota, Metazoa, Arthropoda, Arachnida, Ixodida, Ixodidae. The record is from RefSeq and is a predicted model, not a curated record.
UUUUGAGGAAAUACACCACUUCGAACGAUAUAUUUUACGAGAAGCUUGAAGACAAUAGCAGAAGGUGUAAAAUGAAGUGCUGUUUCCUGACAUCCCCUACUAUGAAAAGGUGCCUUAAUGCUACCGUGCUAGACGGGAUGAAGUGUGAUGGAGGAAUGACAUGCAGAAGGG